GAUGAACGCUGGCGGCGUGCUUAACACAUGCAAGUCACGGGGGCCAGCAAUGGCAACCGGCGAACGGGUGCGUAACACGUGAGCAACCUACCGAAAUGAGGGGGAUAGCCGUCCCAACGGACGGGUAAUACCGCAUACGCUCGAGACCAGGCAUUUGGACUCGAGGAAACCUCCGGGGCAUUUCGAGGGGCUCGCGGCCUAUCAGCUAGUUGGCGAGGUAACGGCUCACCAAGGCGACGACGGGUAGCUGGUCUGAGAGGAUGGCCAGCCACAUUGGGACUGAGAUACGGCCCAGACUCCUACGGGAGGCAGCAGUGGGGAAUCUUGCGCAAUGGGCGAAAGCCUGACGCAGCCAUGCCGCGUGAAUGAUGAAGGUCUUAGGAUUGUAAAAUUCUUUCACCGGGGAAGAUAAUGACGGUACCCGGAGAAGAAGCCCCGGCUAACUUCGUGCCAGCAGCCGC
Molecule: ribosomal RNA, 461 nt
Filed under: uncultured bacterium
Lineage: Bacteria
Description: bacterial SSU rRNA
Rfam family: Bacterial small subunit ribosomal RNA
Source: RNAcentral